Molecule: ribosomal RNA, 454 nt
Filed under: uncultured bacterium
Lineage: Bacteria
Description: bacterial SSU rRNA
Rfam family: Bacterial small subunit ribosomal RNA
Source: RNAcentral
AACGAACGCUGGCGGCAUGCCUAACACAUGCAAGUCGAACGAAGUCUUCGGACUUAGUGGCGCACGGGUGCGUAACGCGUGGGAAUCUGCCCUUGGGUGCGGAAUAACUUCUCGAAAGGGAUGCUAAUACCGCAUAAUGUCGUAAGACCAAAGAUUUAUCGCCCAAGGAUGAGCCCGCGUAAGAUUAGCUAGUUGGUGGGGUAAAAGCCUACCAAGGCGACGAUCUUUAGCUGGUCUGAGAGGAUGAUCAGCCACACUGGGACUGAGACACGGCCCAGACUCCUACGGGAGGCAGCAGUGGGGAAUAUUGGACAAUGGGCGAAAGCCUGAUCCAGCAAUGCCGCGUGAGUGAUGAAGGCCCUAGGGUUGGUUAAAGCUCUUUUACCUAGGGAUGAUAAUGACAGUACCUGGAGAAUAAGACUCCGGCUAACUCCGUGCCAGCAGCCGCGGUAAU